This is a long non-coding RNA of Felis catus (domestic cat), 403 nucleotides long. RefSeq lists it as uncharacterized. The transcript has 2 exons. The record is from RefSeq and is a predicted model, not a curated record. NCBI's taxonomy places the organism in Eukaryota, Metazoa, Chordata, Mammalia, Carnivora, Felidae.
AACAAAGUCUGAUAUACAUUGCAUUCCUUGCACCAUGCAUAUCUACCCAUGUCCUAUUAUAUCCAGCUCCAGUACCACAAAACAGCUGUACUAGAAAUCCUAGAGCAAUUGGGAGAAAUUUGAGUAUAAAGGUUCACUCUAUAUUCUCUUAGGUAUCUUCAGAGCACUUGAAGAAACAAAGACUCUUUGCACACUAAGCAUCUUCCUUCCUUCCUUUCCUAAUCUGGAAAGCCCCAGAGGCUAGAACACAGAGAAAAAUCAGUCUCUGGAGGAGUUGCAGUGUUUGGCUCUUGGCAGAGGCCAAGGGAAGCUGGGGUGUCCAGGGAAAAAGCAGGAUGGUACAAUCUUAAGGGGAAAGAGGACUCCAAUGGGAGGUCUUUAAAAGUGACACUACUCACCAUGA